UGGGGAAUAUUGCACAAUGGGCGCAAGCCUGAUGCAGCAACGCCGCGUGAGUGAAGAAGGCCUUCGGGUCGUAAAACUCUGUCCUAAGGGAAGAAGAAGUGACGGUACCUUAGGAGGAAGCCCCGGCUAACUACGUGCCAGCAGCCGCGGUAAUACGUAGGGGGCAAGCGUUAUCCGGAAUCACUGGGCGUAAAGGGUGCGUAGGCGGCUGAUCAAGCCAGGGGUGAAAGGCUGUGGCUUAACCAUGGUAAGCCUUUGGAACUGGUCAGCUUGAGUGCAGGAGAGGAAAGCGGAAUUCCUAGUGUAGCGGUGAAAUGCGUAGAUAUUAGGAGGAACACCCGUGGCGAAGGCGGCUUUCUGGACUGUAACUGACGCUGAUGCACGAAAGCGUGGGGAGCAA
This 400-nucleotide ribosomal RNA is filed under the name uncultured bacterium. Its description in RNAcentral is "bacterial SSU rRNA". It matches the Rfam family "Bacterial small subunit ribosomal RNA", at positions 355 to 771 of the family's 1533-position model. The record is from RNAcentral.